This 350-nucleotide small RNA is filed under the name Cryptococcus neoformans H99. Its description in RNAcentral is "Cryptococcus neoformans var. grubii H99 hypothetical RNA". Lineage: Eukaryota; Fungi; Basidiomycota; Tremellomycetes; Tremellales; Cryptococcaceae. The record is from RNAcentral.
GGGACUGGGACGGGGGGGAUGAAUGGUGGUGGUGGAGGGUUUGGGUAUCCCCAAGGGACGUUUUAGAAAAGGGGAUGCCUUGUGUACAUUGUGUUUUCCGGGCCACCAAAAGAAAAGAAAAAAAAAAAAGCAAAAAAAAGGCAUUUGCCGUUGAAUUAGUAGAUGUUUUGUUUGGUUUUAUUCUUAUCAUAAUGCUUUGUUUUUAACGAUCACAUGUUACCGCAUUUCUGCAAGGAUUAGAAUUAGAAGAUGAAAAUCGGCACGUCGAGUGUCCGUGUUGAGCGCGAUAAUUGUUGAGCGGAUUGUCCUUGAACAAUAAUCCCUUAUGAAUGAAUGCAUUAAACGUCCAC